UAAACAACCUGCCUUAAGGAUGGGGAUAACAGACGGAAACGACUGCUAAUACCGAAUACGUUCUAAGCAUCGCAUGAUGCAUAGAAGAAAGGGUGGCCUCUACAAGAAAGCUAUCGCCUUAAGAGGGGUUUGCGACUGAUUAGGUAGUUGGUGAGGUAACGGCUCACCAAGCCGACGAUCAGUAGCCGACCUGAGAGGGUGACCGGCCACAUUGGGACUGAGACACGGCCCAA
RNAcentral lists this ribosomal RNA (233 nucleotides) under uncultured bacterium. RNAcentral's name for it is "partial 16S ribosomal RNA". It matches the Rfam family "Bacterial small subunit ribosomal RNA", at positions 118 to 334 of the family's 1533-position model. The record is from RNAcentral.